AAGAGCGAGCGAGAAGAGGAGCGGCGUCGGGCUGAAGAGCGGGCAGAGGAGAAAGGCGCUCUGGGCAAAGGGACCUCCCUGUCAGCAGGGCGCGGUCACGUAAGAGCAUCGCGGGCACCUUUGGGGUGCCCCGGCUGGCUUUGCGCUGGGCGACCUCCCUGUAACCAGGGCUCGGUCUUUGCUUUUGUUGUCGUCGGCCUUUUGCCGUCGUGCUCCUUUGGCUGCCCGGAGAGAGCGGCGACCCUGUAAGGAGGGUGAGAGCCGCCGUCUCCGCACCCGAGGGGGGAAAGGGAGCUCUCUGGACCCCGAGCCCACCCUGUAAGCAGGGGAGGGCUGUUUCCCCGGCCCCCUCCUCCGGCCCCGGCGGCUUUGUGCCUGCCGGCGGCCUGCCCAGCGUGACCCCCUGGAGUCGGGGCGCGUCACAGUCUUUGCCCCUUGGCCACCCGUGAAGCCCCUUGGCGUGUUGAGGCCCCUCUGGCCUCCAUGCAGCCCGGGGGGCGGGUCUGAGGCUCUCCUCUCCUGCUCGGCGGUAGGGAUGGCGCCCCAGACAUUGGCUGCACAGGGCUCGCUCGCCCUUCUGGGAAGUUUUGUUUGUGUGUCCUUGUCCUUGUCUUUGUCCUUGUGGGUGUGAGCGAGCGAGCGAGUGAGCUUGUCCUUUAGGCCCCUCUUAAAAGCGCUGCAGCUUAGCUUAAGCUUCCCAGGAGGGAAAGGGCGGCUCUGUGCAGCAACAGGGGGGUCCCCUCUGAGCCCGCGAGCGGAGGGAGAGUCCGGGCUUGCCCCUCCUUUCUAUAAGGACGGAGCGAAGCCGCUUAGCGGUAGAGCGGGCAACGCGACCUGCCUGUAGUCAGGGCCUGGGUGUCUCUGCCUGCGUGGCCGCCUGUCCUGCUGGCGAGCUGCCAGCGUGACAGCCCUGUACUCGGGGCGUGUGUCACGAGCCGUGGAGCCCUCUUGUCCCCAGGAGCAGCCCGACCUCCCCGUAAGCGGGGCUGGGGGGGCCGCUCUAGCCAGCCCACAGGAACGAGCCCUCCCUCGCCCUUUAGCGGGCGCAGGUUGAGGAAGCGCUGCGCCGGAGGGCGCAGUCCCGCCUUUGGCGCUGCUUUUGGCUGGGGCGACCUCCCCGCGGUUGGGGUCGAGGUCGCUCCCUGGGCUCCUGAAGACGUGGCGUUGUGCUGCAGCCAGGCCGGCCGGCCCGUAAGUCGGGCGCAGGUGGGAGCCUCGGGCUCCGCGGGGCUUGUUGGGAGAGCCGAGCCGAGGGGGGCCGCCCUGUAAGCAGGGCUGUGCGUGUCCCCCGCGCUCGGCGGGAGGUGCUUGGAGGGACCCCCUGUAAUCAGGCGGGUAUCUCCUGGCCCCGGCCUUUCAGAGGCGCGGGGCCAGGAUGCGUGGGGGCCGGGCGUGCGCCCCCCCCGUCCUCGGGGCUGGGGCCGCGGCCCCCCGGCCUUUGGCCGUGAAGCUCCGCUGCCUGGCUGUCGAGUCUCGUUCCUGUGGCUGCGGGGGAAGGCCGAGCUCCCCGACUCCCUGGGUGUCGACCUGCCUGUAAGCAGGGUUCCGGGUCUGGGAGCCUUUGUGCUCAGCUGGCAGCCUGCGUGGGGUGACCGGCCCCGUUAGCGGGGUGCGGGUCGGGGUGCCCCUGAAUCGGAGAGAAGGAGCCUCCGUGGGCCUUUGGGACCAGGGCUGCCCUGUAAGUCAGGGCCCGGCCAGUGCCCUGCAGUCCCGGGCGCUUUGCGGUCCAGGCAGCGGCUCGAGCCCCCUGUAAGCAGGGACGCGGAGCCUCGUUGGCCGCUGCUUUGCAUGCCCAGCUUCGUUUGCCCAGGGUGCCCGCCUCCGAGCCCGGCUCCAGCACCGGCUGGAACUCUGGCCUGCGUCGCUUUGCGGCCGGCGGAGAAGAAAGAAGAGGCUUCGUGUGGAACGGCGAGUCAAGAGCGAGCGAGAAGAGGAGCGGCGUCGGGCUGAAGAGCGGGCAGAGGAGAAAGGCGCUCUGGGCAAAGGGACCUCCCUGUCAGCAGGGCGCGGUCACGUAAGAGCAUCGCGGGCACCUUUGGGGUGCCCCGGCUGGCUUUGCGCUGGGCGACCUCCCUGUAACCAGGGCUCGGUCUUUGCUUUUGUUGUCGUCGGCCUUUUGCCGUCGUGCUCCUUUGGCUGCCCGGAGAGAGCGGCGACCCUGUAAGGAGGGUGAGAGCCGCCGUCUCCGCACCCGAGGGGGGAAAGGGAGCUCUCUGGACCCCGAGCCCACCCUGUAAGCAGGGGAGGGCUGUUUCCCCGGCCCCCUCCUCUGGCCCCGGCGGCUUUGUGCCUGCCGGCGGCCUGCCCAGCGUGACCCCCUGGAGUCGGGGCGCGUCACAGUCUUUGCCCCUUGGCCACCCGUGAAGCCCCUUGGCGUGUUGAGGCCCCUCUGGCCUCCAUGCAGCCCGGGGGGCGGGUCUGAGGCUCUCCUCUCCUGCUCGGCGGUAGGGAUGGCGCCCCAGACAUUGGCUGCACAGGGCUCGCUCGCCCUUCUGGGAAGUUUUGUUUGUGUGUCCUUGUCCUUGUCUUUGUCCUUGUGGGUGUGAGCGAGCGAGCGAGUGAGCUUGUCCUUUAGGCCCCUCUUAAAAGCGCUGCAGCUUAGCUUAAGCUUCCCAGGAGGGAAAGGGCGGCUCUGUGCAGCAACAGGGGGGUCCCCUCUGAGCCCGCGAGCGGAGGGAGAGUCCGGGCUUGCCCCUCCUUUCUAUAAGGACGGAGCGAAGCCGCUUAGCGGUAGAGCGGGCAACGCGACCUGCCUGUAGUCAGGGCCUGGGUGUCUCUGCCUGCGUGGCCGCCUGUCCUGCUGGCGAGCUGCCAGCGUGACAGCCCUGUACUCGGGGCGUGUGUCACGAGCCGUGGAGCCCUCUUGUCCCCAGGAGCAGCCCGACCUCCCCGUAAGCGGGGCUGGGGGGGCCGCUCUAGCCAGCCCACAGGAACGAGCCCUCCCUCGCCCUUUAGCGGGCGCAGGUUGAGGAAGCGCUGCGCCGGAGGGCGCAGUCCCGCCUUUGGCGCUGCUUUUGGCUGGGGCGACCUCCCCGCGGUUGGGGUCGAGGUCGCUCCCUGGGCUCCUGAAGACGUGGCGUUGUGCUGCAGCCAGGCCGGCCGGCCCGUAAGUCGGGCGCAGGUGGGAGCCUCGGGCUCCGCGGGGCUUGUUGGGAGAGCCGAGCCGAGGGGGGCCGCCCUGUAAGCAGGGCUGUGCGUGUCCCCCGCGCUCGGCGGGAGGUGCUUGGAGGGACCCCCUGUAAUCAGGCGGGUAUCUCCUGGCCCCGGCCUUUCAGAGGCGCGGGGCCAGGAUGCGUGGGGGCCGGGCGUGCGCCCCCCCCGUCCUCGGGGCUGGGGCUGCGGCCCCCCGGCCUUUGGCCGUGAAGCUCCGCUGCCUGGCUGUCGAGUCUCGUUCCUGUGGCUGCGGGGGAAGGCCGAGCUCCCCGACUCCCUGGGUGUCGACCUGCCUGUAAGCAGGGUUCCGGGUCUGGGAGCCUUUGUGCUCAGCUGGCAGCCUGCGUGGGGUGACCGGCCCCGUUAGCGGGGUGCGGGUCGGGGUGCCCCUGAAUCGGAGAGAAGGAGCCUCCGUGGGCCUUUGGGACCAGGGCUGCCCUGUAAGUCAGGGCCCGGCCAGUGCCCUGCAGUCCCGGGCGCUUUGCGGUCCAGGCAGCGGCUCGAGCCCCCUGUAAGCAGGGACGCGGAGCCUCGUUGGCCGCUGCUUUGCAUGCCCAGCUUCGUUUGCCCAGGGUGCCCGCCUCCGAGCCCGGCUCCAGCACCGGCUGGAACUCUGGCCUGCGUCGCUUUGCGGCCGGCGGAGAAGAAAGAAGAGGCUUCGUGUGGAACGGCGAGUCAAGAGCGAGCGAGAAGAGGAGCGGCGUCGGGCUGAAGAGCGGGCAGAGGAGAAAGGCGCUCUGGGCAAAGGGACCUCCCUGUCAGCAGGGCGCGGUCACGUAAGAGCAUCGCGGGCACCUUUGGGGUGCCCCGGCUGGCUUUGCGCUGGGCGACCUCCCUGUAACCAGGGCUCGGUCUUUGCUUUUGUUGUCGUCGGCCUUUUGCCGUCGUGCUCCUUUGGCUGCCCGGAGAGAGCGGCGACCCUGUAAGGAGGGUGAGAGCCGCCGUCUCCGCACCCGAGGGGGGAAAGGGAGCUCUCUGGACCCCGAGCCCACCCUGUAAGCAGGGGAGGGCUGUUUCCCCGGCCCCCUCCUCUGGCCCCGGCGGCUUUGUGCCUGCCGGCGGCCUGCCCAGCGUGACCCCCUGGAGUCGGGGCGCGUCACAGUCUUUGCCCCUUGGCCACCCGUGAAGCCCCUUGGCGUGUUGAGGCCCCUCUGGCCUCCAUGCAGCCCGGGGGGCGGGUCUGAGGCUCUCCUCUCCUGCUCGGCGGUAGGGAUGGCGCCCCAGACAUUGGCUGCACAGGGCUCGCUCGCCCUUCUGGGAAGUUUUGUUUGUGUGUCCUUGUCCUUGUCUUUGUCCUUGUGGGUGUGAGCGAGCGAGCGAGUGAGCUUGUCCUUUAGGCCCCUCUUAAAAGCGCUGCAGCUUAGCUUAAGCUUCCCAGGAGGGAAAGGGCGGCUCUGUGCAGCAACAGGGGGGUCCCCUCUGAGCCCGCGAGCGGAGGGAGAGUCCGGGCUUGCCCCUCCUUUCUAUAAGGACGGAGCGAAGCCGCUUAGCGGUAGAGCGGGCAACGCGACCUGCCUGUAGUCAGGGCCUGGGUGUCUCUGCCUGCGUGGCCGCCUGUCCUGCUGGCGAGCUGCCAGCGUGACAGCCCUGUACUCGGGGCGUGUGUCACGAGCCGUGGAGCCCUCUUGUCCCCAGGAGCAGCCCGACCUCCCCGUAAGCGGGGCUGGGGGGGCCGCUCUAGCCAGCCCACAGGAACGAGCCCUCCCUCGCCCUUUAGCGGGCGCAGGUUGAGGAAGCGCUGCGCCGGAGGGCGCAGUCCCGCCUUUGGCGCUGCUUUUGGCUGGGGCGACCUCCCCGCGGUUGGGGUCGAGGUCGCUCCCUGGGCUCCUGAAGACGUGGCGUUGUGCUGCAGCCAGGCCGGCCGGCCCGUAAGUCGGGCGCAGGUGGGAGCCUCGGGCUCCGCGGGGCUUGUUGGGAGAGCCGAGCCGAGGGGGGCCGCCCUGUAAGCAGGGCUGUGCGUGUCCCCCGCGCUCGGCGGGAGGUGCUUGGAGGGACCCCCUGUAAUCAGGCGGGUAUCUCCUGGCCCCGGCCUUUCAGAGGCGCGGGGCCAGGAUGCGUGGGGGCCGGGCGUGCGCCCCCCCCGUCCUCGGGGCUGGGGCUGCGGCCCCCCGGCCUUUGGCCGUGAAGCUCCGCUGCCUGGCUGUCGAGUCUCGUUCCUGUGGCUGCGGGGGAAGGCCGAGCUCCCCGACUCCCUGGGUGUCGACCUGCCUGUAAGCAGGGUUCCGGGUCUGGGAGCCUUUGUGCUCAGCUGGCAGCCUGCGUGGGGUGACCGGCCCCGUUAGCGGGGUGCGGGUCGGGGUGCCCCUGAAUCGGAGAGAAGGAGCCUCCGUGGGCCUUUGGGACCAGGGCUGCCCUGUAAGUCAGGGCCCGGCCAGUGCCCUGCAGUCCCGGGCGCUUUGCGGUCCAGGCAGCGGCUCGAGCCCCCUGUAAGCAGGGACGCGGAGCCUCGUUGGCCGCUGCUUUGCAUGCCCAGCUUCGUUUGCCCAGGGUGCCCGCCUCCGAGCCCGGCUCCAGCACCGGCUGGAACUCUGGCCUGCGUCGCUUUGCGGCCGGCGGAGAAGAAAGAAGAGGCUUCGUGUGGAACGGCGAGUCAAGAGCGAGCGAGAAGAGGAGCGGCGUCGGGCUGAAGAGCGGGCAGAGGAGAAAGGCGCUCUGGGCAAAGGGACCUCCCUGUCAGCAGGGCGCGGUCACGUAAGAGCAUCGCGGGCACCUUUGGGGUGCCCCGGCUGGCUUUGCGCUGGGCGACCUCCCUGUAACCAGGGCUCGGUCUUUGCUUUUGUUGUCGUCGGCCUUUUGCCGUCGUGCUCCUUUGGCUGCCCGGAGAGAGCGGCGACCCUGUAAGGAGGGUGAGAGCCGCCGUCUCCGCACCCGAGGGGGGAAAGGGAGCUCUCUGGACCCCGAGCCCACCCUGUAAGCAGGGGAGGGCUGUUUCCCCGGCCCCCUCCUCUGGCCCCGGCGGCUUUGUGCCUGCCGGCGGCCUGCCCAGCGUGACCCCCUGGAGUCGGGGCGCGUCACAGUCUUUGCCCCUUGGCCACCCGUGAAGCCCCUUGGCGUGUUGAGGCCCCUCUGGCCUCCAUGCAGCCCGGGGGGCGGGUCUGAGGCUCUCCUCUCCUGCUCGGCGGUAGGGAUGGCGCCCCAGACAUUGGCUGCACAGGGCUCGCUCGCCCUUCUGGGAAGUUUUGUUUGUGUGUCCUUGUCCUUGUCUUUGUCCUUGUGGGUGUGAGCGAGCGAGCGAGUGAGCUUGUCCUUUAGGCCCCUCUUAAAAGCGCUGCAGCUUAGCUUAAGCUUCCCAGGAGGGAAAGGGCGGCUCUGUGCAGCAACAGGGGGGUCCCCUCUGAGCCCGCGAGCGGAGGGAGAGUCCGGGCUUGCCCCUCCUUUCUAUAAGGACGGAGCGAAGCCGCUUAGCGGUAGAGCGGGCAACGCGACCUGCCUGUAGUCAGGGCCUGGGUGUCUCUGCCUGCGUGGCCGCCUGUCCUGCUGGCGAGCUGCCAGCGUGACAGCCCUGUACUCGGGGCGUGUGUCACGAGCCGUGGAGCCCUCUUGUCCCCAGGAGCAGCCCGACCUCCCCGUAAGCGGGGCUGGGGGGGCCGCUCUAGCCAGCCCACAGGAACGAGCCCUCCCUCGCCCUUUAGCGGGCGCAGGUUGAGGAAGCGCUGCGCCGGAGGGCGCAGUCCCGCCUUUGGCGCUGCUUUUGGCUGGGGCGACCUCCCCGCGGUUGGGGUCGAGGUCGCUCCCUGGGCUCCUGAAGACGUGGCGUUGUGCUGCAGCCAGGCCGGCCGGCCCGUAAGUCGGGCGCAGGUGGGAGCCUCGGGCUCCGCGGGGCUUGUUGGGAGAGCCGAGCCGAGGGGGGCCGCCCUGUAAGCAGGGCUGUGCGUGUCCCCCGCGCUCGGCGGGAGGUGCUUGGAGGGACCCCCUGUAAUCAGGCGGGUAUCUCCUGGCCCCGGCCUUUCAGAGGCGCGGGGCCAGGAUGCGUGGGGGCCGGGCGUGCGCCCCCCCCCGUCCUCGGGGCUGGGGCCGCGGCCCCCCGGCCUUUGGCCGUGAAGCUCCGCUGCCUGGCUGUCGAGUCUCGUUCCUGUGGCUGCGGGGGAAGGCCGAGCUCCCCGACUCCCUGGGUGUCGACCUGCCUGUAAGCAGGGUUCCGGGUCUGGGAGCCUUUGUGCUCAGCUGGCAGCCUGCGUGGGGUGACCGGCCCCGUUAGCGGGGUGCGGGUCGGGGUGCCCCUGAAUCGGAGAGAAGGAGCCUCCGUGGGCCUUUGGGACCAGGGCUGCCCUGUAAGUCAGGGCCCGGCCAGUGCCCUGCAGUCCCGGGCGCUUUGCGGUCCAGGCAGCGGCUCGAGCCCCCUGUAAGCAGGGACGCGGAGCCUCGUUGGCCGCUGCUUUGCAUGCCCAGCUUCGUUUGCCCAGGGUGCCCGCCUCCGAGCCCGGCUCCAGCACCGGCUGGAACUCUGGCCUGCGUCGCUUUGCGGCCGGCGGAGAAGAAAGAAGAGGCUUCGUGUGGAACGGCGAGUCAAGAGCGAGCGAGAAGAGGAGCGGCGUCGGGCUGAAGAGCGGGCAGAGGAGAAAGGCGCUCUGGGCAAAGGGACCUCCCUGUCAGCAGGGCGCGGUCACGUAAGAGCAUCGCGGGCACCUUUGGGGUGCCCCGGCUGGCUUUGCGCUGGGCGACCUCCCUGUAACCAGGGCUCGGUCUUUGCUUUUGUUGUCGUCGGCCUUUUGCCGUCGUGCUCCUUUGGCUGCCCGGAGAGAGCGGCGACCCUGUAAGGAGGGUGAGAGCCGCCGUCUCCGCACCCGAGGGGGGAAAGGGAGCUCUCUGGACCCCGAGCCCACCCUGUAAGCAGGGGAGGGCUGUUUCCCCGGCCCC
Molecule: long non-coding RNA, 8010 nt
Organism: Grus americana (Whooping crane)
Lineage: Eukaryota; Metazoa; Chordata; Aves; Gruiformes; Gruidae
Exons: 5
Source: RefSeq, a predicted model, not a curated record